Molecule: ribosomal RNA, 253 nt
Filed under: uncultured bacterium
Lineage: Bacteria
Description: partial 16S ribosomal RNA
Rfam family: Bacterial small subunit ribosomal RNA
Source: RNAcentral
UACGAAGGGGACUAGCGUUGUUCGGAAUCACUGGGCGUAAAGCGCACGUAGGCGGAUUUGUAAGUCAGGGGUGAAAUCCCGGGGCUCAACCUCGGAACUGCCUUUGAUACUGCGAAUCUUGAGUCCGAUAGAGGUGGGUGGAAUUCCUAGUGUAGAGGUGAAAUUCGUAGAUAUUAGGAAGAACACCAGUGGCGAAGGCGGCUCACUGGUCCGGUACUGACGCUGAGGUGCGAAAGCGUGGGGAGCAAACAGG